RNAcentral lists this ribosomal RNA (397 nucleotides) under uncultured bacterium. RNAcentral describes it as "partial 16S ribosomal RNA". It matches the Rfam family "Bacterial small subunit ribosomal RNA", at positions 523 to 918 of the family's 1533-position model. The record is from RNAcentral.
AUACGUAGGUGACAAGCGUUAUCCGGAUUUACUGGGCGUAAAGGGCGUGUAGGCGGUCUUGCAAGUCAGAAGUGAAAUUCCUGAGCUCAACUCGGGCGCUGCUUCUGAAACUGCAGGACUUGAGUGCUGGAGGGGAUAGUGGAAUUCCUAGUGGAGCGGUAAAAUGCGCAGAUAUUGGGAAGAACACCGGUGGCGAAGGCGGCUAUCUGGCCAGUACCUGACGCUGAGGCGGGAAAGCGUGGGGAGCAAACAGUAUUAUUGACCCUGGUAGUCAACGCCGUAAACGAUGAAUACUAGGUGUAGGGGGUAUCGACUCCCUCUGUGCCGCAGUUAACACGAUAAGUAUUCCGCCUGGGGAGUACGGCCGCAAGGUUGAAACUCAAAUGAAUUGACGGGG